ACCGCAGGUGGAUUGAGUUGAGCCCGCCCACUUCCGCCCCAUGAGCCAAUGGGAGAGAAUAGUCAAAUUGUGCCACGCCCCCUGCCCCUUGCGACCACCCAUGGUUGCGGAGCCGCCGCAGGCGAGCCUGGUGCGCGCUCCGAGUGCGCCCGCGCAGGUACGGAGCGCUUCUGCCCCGGGAGACCACUUAGAGACUGCAGGAGCCUGUGCAACAGGUGGUCCCUAAGCCGCUGCCGCUGGAACCGCAGACUGGGGCUCGGAGGAUCGCUGCAGGCCCGCUGGCCUGGCCUCCGCGCCGAGCCCCUCCCUCUCGCCCUCGACUCCAGUCACCUGCUCGUGUCGCCAGUGGUGAAGGCAGAGAAAUCAGUACCUGCCACCUGUCCCCGCGGUGGCGGAAAGGGACGCCCAUGGUAGCCAGGGCUGCGCCAGGAUGAAGUCAGGAGCCAGGAGCUCAGGACGAGCCUCCUGCAGGCGGCAGGAAGCCAGGUCCCCGAGCCAUCGCCUGCUGCCUCCCUGGGUGCACAUUAGCGGGAAGCUGGAAUCAGAAGCAGAGCCAGACCCUGAGCUCAGGCACAACAACAUGGGAUGCAGUGGACCCAGGGACAUCUUAGCUGCUCCACCAGAUGCCGGCCCUCCCCCUCUCUGUCUCUCAAAUUAAAAAAAAAAAAUCUAAA
This is a non-coding RNA of Oryctolagus cuniculus (rabbit), 674 nucleotides long. Lineage: Eukaryota; Metazoa; Chordata; Mammalia; Lagomorpha; Leporidae. The record is from RefSeq and is a predicted model, not a curated record.